RNAcentral lists this long non-coding RNA (862 nucleotides) under Triticum aestivum (bread wheat). RNAcentral describes it as "long non-coding RNA (TAES_LNC026474)". Lineage: Eukaryota; Viridiplantae; Streptophyta; Magnoliopsida; Poales; Poaceae. The record is from RNAcentral.
CCGAUUACAAUCUCUAUCAGUUAGGUGGAAUGACAAAACAGUGGACAACCUAUGAACAAAACCAAACAUUACUUCUGAUCAAACACAUACAAAUAGAUUUUAGAAUUUCAGUAGUAUUAAGCUUGUACGUUUAGCUAUGCCCAAAACAAGUAAUGCUAUUUUAUGUCGAUCUUUAUUGCCAAGCAAUCUAUAUAUAUGUUUAAUAGAUCUUUAUUGCUCUUUCUUCUAUCAACUUCAUUUGUUCCUCAAUUUCUCCAGUGACUGAAACAUUCUUCUCAAUAGUGCUAUAGCCAUUAGGUUCACCUUUCUUCUCACCAAAACCUAAAUUUUGCUACUGGUUGUAAUGAAAAGAGGGCCUCAAAUUUCAAUUUAACAUUACUUGUACCCACCACAAAUAUGAAGACAUCCAUAUCCCACAUACAUUAGCGGUCAUCCACCUGAACAGAUACCUGAAAACAAAAUAUUUUCAGUUCUCAGAAGUAUACCAACACAAAAGUGCACAUAUAACACUUCAGGAUUAACAGGCUUCAUUACCAUGCAUUGGAAAGAGAAAACGCAACCCUGCAUCUUGCAAUUUUUGCUAGUUGCAAGCGUGUACCGCUACUAAUCCGGUCUACACCUAGAGAAAGUUCUGAAACCCUCCACAUAGAGACCGUCAAAUACUGCAGGUCAAAAGUGAAAAUCCAUAUUUUUACACCUGAAUGAUCCAUGGAGAGGUAUAUAAACUGCUGUGAGAAAAAAACAAAUAUGAUUGAAUAUCAAUGGAAGAACAUACAAGAAUAGUGCAGCAGCCACUCAUGAUUUGUAAUCGCCAUGGGACUUGAGUUGCUUAGUUGCUUAAACAGUCUACUGUAGUCACCGU